GUGGGGAAUAUUGGACAAUGGGCGAAAGCCUGAUCCAGCCAUGCCGCGUGUGUGAAGAAGGUCUUCGGAUUGUAAAGCACUUUAAGUUGGGAGGAAGGGCAGUAAGUUAAUACCUUGCUGUUUUGACGUUACCGACAGAAUAAGCACCGGCUAACUUCGUGCCAGCAGCCGCGGUAAUACGAAGGGUGCAAGCGUUAAUCGGAAUUACUGGGCGUAAAGCGCGCGUAGGUGGUUUUGUAAGUUGGAGGUGAAAUCCCCGGGCUGAACCUGGGAACUGCCUCCAAAACUGCAUGACUAGAGUACGGUAGAGGGUAGUGGAAUUUCCUGUGUAGCGGUGAAAUGCGUAGAUAUAGGAAGGAACACCAGUGGCGAAGGCGACUACCUGGACUGAUACUGACACUGAGGUGCGAAAGCGUGGGGAGCAAACAGGAUUAGAAACCCGUGUAGUCC
This 450-nucleotide ribosomal RNA is filed under the name uncultured bacterium. Its description in RNAcentral is "partial 16S ribosomal RNA". It matches the Rfam family "Bacterial small subunit ribosomal RNA", at positions 354 to 796 of the family's 1533-position model. The record is from RNAcentral.